AGGUGUGCUUUACUUUCAGAAAACAGAAGAGCCUGAGGAGAUUGUAGAAAACAGUUAUGGUGAUGGCAGUAGCAGUGUUGUAGAUCAAUUUCCGUCCUUACAAAAGUACAUAAGACCUUCAUUGGACAAGGGUGCUGAGUUAAUUAC
Molecule: long non-coding RNA, 147 nt
Organism: Lingula anatina
Lineage: Eukaryota; Metazoa; Brachiopoda; Lingulata; Lingulida; Lingulidae
Source: RefSeq, a predicted model, not a curated record